CACCUGAGCUAACCGUUGAGUCAAUUAAAACAGCGGUCCUGAGGAAAAUUUCUAAUAAUGGAGCGGCAAAAUUAUCCAGACAAUACUUCAAUUCAAGUAAGAGAUCAUUGGUUUUGUACUGAUAACGAAAUUUUUUGAAGAUAGAGUUUGCCGUACCCAGAACACCAUUAACGGAGACGUAAUCGUUAUUGCGGGAGACGGCAUCGAGGCUGGAUAUUAGCUCCGGAAGCAAAGUGGGCCAUGAUUUCGGAAAAUCGUGUUUGCCAAUGAGAGAAAGCGACUCGCUGAGCUGUGACUGAAUGCGAGGAGUCGAGGACAGCAUGAGACUAACAAUUAGGGUUUUGAUCUGAUCCUUCUCCGCAUCAAGGAUGGGAGAGAGGGAAGACUCCGGUGACGGGGCCCAGCGUGUGCGGAGAUGAUUCUUAAAGUUGACGGCAGCAGCGUGGCGGAUCUGCUCGUCGACGGAGGGUUCCGAGACUAAGCGAAGAACGGCGAGUGCAUAAUUUGGGUGGUCGGCAGCUUCCGUGAGUUUGGCUUCGGCGGCACGUCGUGGCUCCGGUGCAGGAGAGAGUGUAUGGAGGAAACAUUGGGAUAGGAACUCUGGAUUCAUCUCCAAAACUGGAAAGAAUGUGCUUGCGUUGUGCGCUAGGGUUUGCGAAUGCGACUUUAGGGUUUGUGAGAAAGAAAUCUAAUAUGAAAAUGAAGUGAUUUUAGAAAAAAUGAAAAAUAAAGGAGAGAGUAAAAUAGCUAAAGAGAGAGC
This 760-nucleotide unclassified non-coding RNA is filed under the name Hevea brasiliensis (rubber tree). The record is from RNAcentral. Lineage: Eukaryota; Viridiplantae; Streptophyta; Magnoliopsida; Malpighiales; Euphorbiaceae.